UACGUAGGCAGCAAGCGUUGUUCGGAGUUACUGGGCGUAAAGCGUGCGCAGGCGGUUAUGUAAGACAGAUGUGAAAUGCCCGGGCUUAACCUGGGAACUGCAUUUGUGACUGCAUGGCUAGAGUUUGGCAGAGGGGGGUAGAAUUCCACGUGUAGCAGUGAAAUGCGUAGAUAUGUGGAGGAACACCGAUGGCGAAGGCAAUCCCCUGGGCCUGUACUGACGCUCAUGCACGAAAGCGUGGGGAGCAAACAGG
Molecule: ribosomal RNA, 253 nt
Filed under: uncultured bacterium
Lineage: Bacteria
Description: partial 16S ribosomal RNA
Rfam family: Bacterial small subunit ribosomal RNA
Source: RNAcentral